GAUGAAGAACGUAGCAAAAUGCGAUACUUGGUGUGAAUUGCAGAAUCCCGUGAACCAUCGAGUUUUUGAACGCAAGUUGCGCCCGAAGCCUUUUGGCCGAGGGCACGUCUGCCUGGGCGUCACGCAUCGCGUCGCCCCCCACAAUUCUCCGUAAAGGGAACGUGUGUUUUGGGGGCGGAUAUUGGUCUCCCGUGCUCAUGGCGUGGUUGGCCGAAAUAGGAGUCCUUUCGAUGGACGCACGAACUAGUGGUGGUCGUAAAAACCCUCGUCUUUUGUUUCGUGCCGUUAGUCGCGAGGGAAGCUCUUCAAAAACCCCAGCGCGUCGUCUCUUGACGGCGCUUCGACCGCGACCCCAGGUCAGGCGGGACUACCCGCUGAGUUUAAGCAUAUCAAUAAGCGGAGA
This 403-nucleotide unclassified non-coding RNA is filed under the name soil metagenome. Its description in RNAcentral is "partial contains 5.8S ribosomal RNA, internal transcribed spacer 2, and large subunit ribosomal RNA". The stretch from base 1 to 122 matches the Rfam family "5.8S ribosomal RNA", at positions 35 to 154 of the family's 154-position model. The record is from RNAcentral.